UUUACUUGAAAUUAUGUGUGUAAUACAAUUUGAUUUGUCUAUCUUUUUAGAAUGCACGUUUCAAACGGAUCACUGGGGUAGUGUGGAGUGGGCCCAUGAUAUAGAAAUGCACGACACAACAGCAAGACUAGCCGCAGCGAAUAUGUUUGUUUAUUUCAACUCUAUUUCCUCCACAGUACGAGAGAAGAACAUCCAGGGAUAAUGACGGACAGACACUUUAGUUCUACGG
Molecule: long non-coding RNA, 229 nt
Organism: Eurytemora carolleeae
Lineage: Eukaryota; Metazoa; Arthropoda; Copepoda; Calanoida; Temoridae
Exons: 2
Source: RefSeq, a predicted model, not a curated record